AUGAGCAGAUUUUCUUCUCCUCGGAACGCUGCCAGAGCUGUUCUGGCCCCGAACACAAUCCUUGAGGUCUCUGCUCCCCGUGCCGCUCAGUUUCCUCUCGUCCUUCCUUCGCUGCUGAAAUACAGUCGCUGUGCGUUCAGCAGCAUCAUCCACCGGGAAAGCGCUUGCGGAAAACGAUUGCUGGCUCCUGAACUCCCCCUCUACCCCUCCUCCCGCCGGAGUGCCUCCCCCACCAUCCCCCCAUCCUUCCCACUCCCCCCGAGCUCUCACGGCCGCGGGGCCGGACGGGGCUCAGCUCCUCCCGCGGGGAUGCGGGGGGCGGGGCGCGGCGGCGGCGGCGGCGGCGGUCGGGGCGUCCGGAGCGGCUGCGGCACCGCACGGAGCGGAUGGAGCUGCGGCUGCCUGCCUUUCACCUGCAACUGUCUUACCCUGCAGGAGAGCAGCAAAUGGCCACAGCACAUCCAUCCCAGGUAGGAGCUUGGGGAAGCAGCCAUCGAGGCAGAGGUGCAAGAGAUGUGCCUUGCAGGGGGAGAAUGAGAUGCCCAGCGUUUGUGAGCCGGGGAGAGAAGCUGCUGGGGUUGGGGUUUCUCUCCUCGACAAGCUGUUUCCCCAGGCCACAGGUGGUUGCAGCAAGGAGCCUCUUCGCUUACAGGAGCCCGUGAGCUUUGCAGAUGUGGCCGUGUAUUUCAGCAGGGAGGAGUGGGCGCUGCUGGACCCUGCGCAGCGAGCGCUGUACUGGGAUGUGAUGCUGGAGACCUACGAGUGCAUAGCCUCGCUGGGUGAGGGCUCUGCUGCCAUUCCUACUUGUCCAGGCACCUUGGGAUGUACAGAAUGGGUCUUUGCAAGCAGGACAGUGAUGAAAUACGUUAAAAUUACCUGCUGGCUAAUGCUUCAUAAAAAUGCAUGAGUUUCAGAAGCCAUUUGUAUGCUCACCACUCUGAUGGAAGACUCAGAUGUGACAGUUGUCACUCUGGCAUCAGUCAGAAGGGGGAGGAUCAGCGCCCUGCAUGCUUCCCUUGCAUUGCUGUGUGUCACGUUUGUCAAGAAAAGCCCCAGCAUAGUUCUCAGAGGUGGAAAUUCCGAGUGUACUCCAAAGCAAGGCAGUCCGUGUUGGCCCCGUGUCACUCAGGCCCUGGUUGUGGUUUCAUAAGAAGGGAGGGGACGCACAGUGGAGGUGUUGCGUAAGCAGCUUUGCCAGAAUCAAGGAAAUGCUUUCAUCUCCACCAUUUCUAUCAUUUAAGCAUCUAAACCUGUGGUGAUCUCCCUGCUUGGAGGAGGGGAAGAUCCCUGGAUCCCAGAUGUUCACAGCCUGAAGGACAUGGCAGGAGACGUCUGCCCAGGUGAGGU
This 1347-nucleotide long non-coding RNA is filed under the name Phasianus colchicus (ring-necked pheasant). RNAcentral's name for it is "lncRNA (ENSPCLG00000013489.1)". The record is from RNAcentral. Lineage: Eukaryota; Metazoa; Chordata; Aves; Galliformes; Phasianidae.